This 538-nucleotide ribosomal RNA is filed under the name uncultured bacterium. Its description in RNAcentral is "bacterial SSU rRNA". It matches the Rfam family "Bacterial small subunit ribosomal RNA", at positions 777 to 1314 of the family's 1533-position model. The record is from RNAcentral.
AAUAGAUACCCUGGUAGUCCACGCCGUAAACGAUGAACACUAGGUGUAGGGGGUGUCGACUCCCCCUGUGCCGAAGCUAACGCAUUAAGUGUUCCGCCUGGGGAGUACGGCCGCAAGGCUAAAACUCAAAGGAAUUGAACGGGGGCCCGCACAAGCAGCGGAGCAUGUGGUUUAAUUGGACGCAACGCCAAGAACCUUACCCGGGCUUGACAUGUUCCUGACCGGCCUGGAAACAGGUCUUCCCUUCGGGGCAGGAUCACAGGUGGUGCAUGGCUGCCGUCAGCUCGUGUCGUGAGAUGUUGGGUUAAGUCCCGCAACGAGCGCAACCCCCGUCGCAUGUUGCCAGCAUUAAGUUGGGGACUCAUGCGAGACUGCCGGUGACAAACCGGAGGAAGGUGGGGAUGACGUCAAGUCAUCAUGCCCCUUAUGUCCGGGGCUACACACGUGCUACAUUGGCGCGUACAGAGGGCUGCGAUACCGGCGAGGUGGAGCGAAUCCCUUAAAGCGCGUCUCGGUUCGGAUUGCAGGCUGAAACUCG